This 236-nucleotide ribosomal RNA is filed under the name uncultured bacterium. RNAcentral describes it as "partial 16S ribosomal RNA". It matches the Rfam family "Bacterial small subunit ribosomal RNA", at positions 100 to 334 of the family's 1533-position model. The record is from RNAcentral.
CCGGCACGGGUGAGUAACGCGUAUCCAACCUGCCGUCUACUCUUGGACAGCCUUCUGAAGGAAGAUUAAUACAAGAUGGCAUCAUGAGUUCACAUGUUCACAUGAUUAAAGGUAUUCCGGUAGACGAUGGGGAUGCGUUCCAUUAGAUAGUAGGCGGGGUAACGGCCCACCUAGUCUUCGAUGGAUAGGGGUUCUGAGAGGAAGGUCCCCCACAUUGGAACUGAGACACGGUCCAA